This 334-nucleotide ribosomal RNA is filed under the name uncultured Leptolinea sp. Its description in RNAcentral is "bacterial SSU rRNA". It matches the Rfam family "Bacterial small subunit ribosomal RNA", at positions 1033 to 1382 of the family's 1533-position model. The record is from RNAcentral. Lineage: Bacteria; Bacillati; Chloroflexota; Anaerolineae; Anaerolineales; Anaerolineaceae.
CACAGGUGCUGCAUGGCUGUCGUCAGCUCGUGUCGUGAGAUGUUCGGUUAAGUCCGCUAACGAGCGCAACCCUCGUCGUGUGUUAUACGUGUCACACGAUACUGCCGGUAUCAAGCCGGAGGAAGGUGGGAUGAUGUCAAGUCAGCAUGGCCUUUAUACCCUGGGCUACACACACGCUACAAUGGCAGAUACAAUAGGUUGCGAAACCGCGAGGUGGAGCCAAUCCUCAAAGUCUGUCUCAGUUCAGAUUGUAGGCUGCAACUCGCCUGCAUGAAGUUGGAGUUGCUAGUAAACGCAGGUCAGCUAUACUGCGUUGAAUACGUUCCCGGGGUUU